RNAcentral lists this ribosomal RNA (594 nucleotides) under uncultured bacterium. Its description in RNAcentral is "bacterial SSU rRNA". It matches the Rfam family "Bacterial small subunit ribosomal RNA", at positions 338 to 946 of the family's 1533-position model. The record is from RNAcentral.
CCUACGGGAGGCAGCAGUGGGGAAUCUUGCGCAAUGGGCGAAAGCCUGACGCAGCAACGCCGCGUGCGGGAAGAAGGCCCUAGGGUUGUAAACCGCUUUCAGUAGGAACGAAAAUGACGGUACCUGCAGAAGAAGGUGCGGCCAACUACGUGCCAGCAGCCGCGGUGACACGUAGGCACCAAGCGUUGUCCGGAUUUAUUGGGCGUAAAGAGCUCGUAGGCGGUUCAGUAAGUCGGGUGUGAAAACUCUGGGCUUAACCCAGAGCCGCCACUCGAUACUGCUGUGACUUGAGUUCGGUAGGGGAGCAGGGAAUUCCUAGUGUAGCGGUGAAAUGCGCAGAUAUUAGGAGGAACACCGGUGGCGAAGGCGCUGCUCUGGGCCGAUACUGACGCUGAGGAGCGAAAGCGUGGGUAGCAAACAGGAUUAGAUACCCUGGUAGUCCACGCCGUAAACGUUGGGCACUAGGUGUGGGUUCCAACCAACGGAAUCCGCGCCGUCGCUAACGCAUUAAGUGCCCGCCUGGGGAGUACGGCGGCAACGCUAAAACCUUAAGGAAUUGACGGCUGNGACGNGCGAGCGACGACGAGGGAGAGG